RNAcentral lists this ribosomal RNA (255 nucleotides) under uncultured bacterium. RNAcentral's name for it is "partial 16S ribosomal RNA". It matches the Rfam family "Bacterial small subunit ribosomal RNA", at positions 524 to 776 of the family's 1533-position model. The record is from RNAcentral.
UACGUAGGGUGCAAGCGUUGUCCGGAAUUAUUGGGCGUAAAGAGCUCGUAGGCGGUUUGUCGCGUCUGCUGUGAAAACUGGAGGCUCAACCUCCAGCCUGCAGUGGGUACGGGCAAACUAGAGUGCGGUAGGGGAGAUUGGAAUUCCUGGUGUAGCGGUGAAAUGCGCAGAUAUCAGGAGGAACACCGGUGGCGAAGGCGGGGUCUCGUGGGCCGAUACUGACGCUGAGGAGCGAAAGCGUGGGGAGCGAACAGG